UACGUAGGCAGCGAGCGUUGUUCGGAGUUACUGGGCGUAAAGAGUGUGUAGGCGGUGUUCCAAGUCUGGUGUGAAAUCUCCCGGCUUAACUGGGAGGGUGCGCCGGAAACUGGAAUGCUCGAGGGUGGGAGAGGUAAGCGGAAUUCCUGGUGUAGCGGUGAAAUGCGUAGAUAUCAGGAGGAACACCUGUGGUGUAGACAGCUUACUGGACCACUUCUGACGCUGAGACACGAAAGCGUGGGUAGCAAACAGG
Molecule: ribosomal RNA, 253 nt
Filed under: uncultured bacterium
Lineage: Bacteria
Description: partial 16S ribosomal RNA
Rfam family: Bacterial small subunit ribosomal RNA
Source: RNAcentral